This 135-nucleotide ribosomal RNA is filed under the name Escherichia coli. Its description in RNAcentral is "partial 23S ribosomal RNA". It matches the Rfam family "Bacterial large subunit ribosomal RNA", at positions 1 to 125 of the family's 2925-position model. Lineage: Bacteria; Pseudomonadati; Pseudomonadota; Gammaproteobacteria; Enterobacterales; Enterobacteriaceae. The record is from RNAcentral.
GGGUUGUGAGGYUAAGCGACUAAGCGUACACGGUGGAUGCCCUGGCAGUCAGAGGCGAUGAAGGACGUGCUAAUCUGCGAUAAGCGUCGGUAAGGUGAUAUGAACCGUUAUAACCGGCGAUUUCCGAAUGGGGAA